RNAcentral lists this non-coding RNA (29 nucleotides) under Rattus norvegicus (Norway rat). Lineage: Eukaryota; Metazoa; Chordata; Mammalia; Rodentia; Muridae. The record is from RNAcentral.
UCAGUUCCGAGUUCUUAUGAUGGGAUAAC